CAUCGCUUCAGGGCGGGGUGUAAUUCCCCACCGGUGGUAAGUUAGGCUGAUCAACUGAUCAAGACCUAAUCAGCCCACGAGCCUAUCAUAUUCAAUUCAUGAUUCGCAGAUUUGGUGAAAUACCAAAGCCGACGGUAUAGUCCGGAUGAAAGAAGACGACG
This 161-nucleotide non-coding RNA is filed under the name Acinetobacter sp. RNAcentral describes it as "FMN sequence". It matches the Rfam family "FMN riboswitch aptamer (RFN element)". Rfam says of the family: The RFN element is a highly conserved domain that is found frequently in the 5'-untranslated regions of prokaryotic mRNAs that encode for flavin mononucleotide (FMN) biosynthesis and transport proteins. The record is from RNAcentral. Lineage: Bacteria; Pseudomonadati; Pseudomonadota; Gammaproteobacteria; Moraxellales; Moraxellaceae.